CUACUAGGGUUUCUAAUCCUGUUUGCUCCCCACGCUUUCGUGCAUGAGCGUCAAUCUUGACCCAGGAGACUGCCUUCGCCAUCGGUGUUCCUCCACAUAUCUACGCAUUUCACUGCUACACGUGGAAUUCUACCCCCCUCUGCCAGAUUCUAGCCUUGCAGUCUCCAAUGCAAUUCCCAGGUUGAGCCCGGGGAUUUCACAUCAGACUUACAAAACCGCCUGCGCACACUUUACGCCCAGUAAUUCCGAUUAACGCUUGCACCCUACGUAUUACCGCGGCUGCUGGCAC
This 289-nucleotide ribosomal RNA is filed under the name uncultured Janthinobacterium sp. RNAcentral's name for it is "partial 16S ribosomal RNA". Lineage: Bacteria; Pseudomonadati; Pseudomonadota; Betaproteobacteria; Burkholderiales; Oxalobacteraceae. The record is from RNAcentral.